AUCAAUUAGUGAGAAGCUGAUGUUUCCUAGUGGACUUACUAGGUUGAGCAUUCAAUUAAUUUGAAAGGUACUUUAUUACUAGUCGGUCCCCGAUCUGUGAGCACUCAUAAAAGCUGCAGCCCCUUGUGAAAGGUAGUGGUCUUUUUUUCCAUUCUACCACAGUACAAAGAUUCAUCAUUUCCUUAAGGUCCUUAUGGAUCUUAGAUUUGUUAGUAAAAAUAAAUGGAAAUUAGAGCAAAGUAAUGUUAGAUCAUCAUACCCAUGUGCCAAUUUACUCCUGCUGUGAAUUCAUUAUCUUCACAAACAUGUUCAACGAUGAACUUCACAUUCUGGCCCAUGCCUGUGGUGAGCUGUUGAUAGAAACGCAUAACUUCCUGCAGCAAUUCGAUUGAGAAAAAUCAAAAGUUAAUGUUAUAUCAAGUACAGAAGAAGUUUAUAGAAGUAUGAAGAGGAGACCUUUUUGCCUUGAAUUGGGGAUAUAAAUGUGCAAUCCUCAAAGCAGCAAUCAUCUGAAAUGUACUCAUUUAGUUCUUUUAACUUUUUCUCAUUGAUGCAGGCAUAGAAAUUCCUGAUUGUAUCUGCUGCAGAAAUCUGAUCCAAUGUAAUAUCAUCACUUUCAGCUGCUGAUGGCACGAUCAAGUCGAGCCUCCGAUUGUGGAAAGGUUUGUUCUGUUCAUGCCUUCUUAAACAGAUUCUCUGCUGCCCCAUUUUUGUAUUUUUAUAGGCUGCCUGAGAUGAAAGUUUAAAGGGCAUGGCUGCAGGCGUUGCUGCGGCGACCAUGGGUUUGAAGGAGAGGGUCUGCUGUGGGAUUUGGCAUGAGAACAUGAUAGCAGAAGCCAUUUCCUUCUCCCAGAGUAAGAUUGGGAAGAUGAGACAGAAGUUUAAGACGACAUACUAGUAGAAAG
RNAcentral lists this long non-coding RNA (905 nucleotides) under Manihot esculenta (cassava). RNAcentral's name for it is "long non-coding RNA (MESC_LNC000382)". Lineage: Eukaryota; Viridiplantae; Streptophyta; Magnoliopsida; Malpighiales; Euphorbiaceae. The record is from RNAcentral.